UGUCUGUCAGUCUCGAGCCGAGCAUCUGACGUGCUGGUUCAUUCAAGUCCAUAAAGUAUUCACAUAUUUUCUUAGAUCAAGCGCGACCCUAGAAACAGUUUCAUCCUACAAGAUUUGUUUUUUUUUUUUGUUUGUAGCCCCUCUUUUUUUUCCUGUUUGAGUUUCGCGAGUUUAUCAAGAGAAGAAAUGACAAUUUAUGGACUUUUAGUGCAAAUCAUAAUCGUUUGUAAUUAGCUGGCAGAAAGAGCAUCUACAUAGGUGCAACCCGCUGAAAUGGCACCGCCCCAAGAGCAGCCAGAGGAUGAUUUUUCCACCAAGAUACCUUCGAUAAUUGGAUUCCUAAACCUGGACUGACUGGCAGCUCGAAAUGGACCCUUCCCCCCCGAACCACCUUUUGGACAAAAGUGCUGACCCAGAGAGAGGCCAAGGCUGAAGAGAGCUGAUGAAAUGAUGAGAAUUAUAGAUAGAGUAUCACCGUUUGUCAUAGGUUUACAGUUAAGUUAGAGCCCAAAAUCGAUGAAAUAAAUCAAGAUUUCUUUUCUACAAAA
Drosophila guanche is the source of this 548-nucleotide long non-coding RNA. RefSeq lists it as uncharacterized. The transcript has 2 exons. NCBI's taxonomy places the organism in Eukaryota, Metazoa, Arthropoda, Insecta, Diptera, Drosophilidae. The record is from RefSeq and is a predicted model, not a curated record.